CCCUGGUGGCGAGUGGCGAACGGGUGAGUAAUGCAUCGGAACGUGCCCAUCGAUGGGGGAUAACUGCGCGAAAGCGUUGCUAGUACCGCAUACGACCUACGGGUGAAAGCAGGGGACCGCAAGGCCUUGCGUCGAUGGAGCGGCCGAUGCCGGAUUAGCUAGUUGGUGAGGUAAAGGCUCACCAAGACGACGAUCCGUAGCUGGUCUGAGAGGACGACCCAGCCACACUGGGACUGAGACACGGCCCAGACUCCUACGGGAGGCAGCAGUGGGGAAUCUUGGACAAUGGGCGAAAGCCUGAUCCAGCAAUGCCGCGUGUGGGAAGAAGGCCUUCGGGUUGUAAACCACUUUUGGCGGGAAAGAAAUGGUCUGUGCUAAUACCACGGAUUGAUGACGGUACCCGCAGAAUAAGCACCGGCUAACUACGUG
Molecule: ribosomal RNA, 429 nt
Filed under: uncultured bacterium
Lineage: Bacteria
Description: bacterial SSU rRNA
Rfam family: Bacterial small subunit ribosomal RNA
Source: RNAcentral